CCUACGGGAGGCAGCAGUGAGGAAUAUUGGUCAAUGGACGCAAGUCUGAACCAGCCAUGCCGCGUGCAGGAAGACGGCUCUAUGAGUUGUAAACUGCUUUUGUACGAGGGUAAACGCAGAUACGCGUAUCUGUCUGAAAGUAUCGUACGAAUAAGGAUCGGCUAACUCCGUUCCAGCAGCCGCGGUAAUACGGAGGAUUCAAGCGUUAUCCGGAUUUAUUGGGUGUAAAGGGUGCGUAGGCGGUCGGAUAAGUUAGAGGUGAAAUCCCGAGGCUCAACUUCGGAAUUUCCUCUGAUACUGUUCGGCGAGAGAGUAGUGGCGGUAGGCGGAAUGUAUGGUGUAGCGGUGAAAUGCUUAGAGAUCAUACAGAACACCGAUUGCGAAGGCAGCUUACCAAGCUACUUCUGACGUUGAGGCACGAAAGCGUGGGGAGCAAACAGGAUUAGAUACCCUUGUAGUC
RNAcentral lists this ribosomal RNA (460 nucleotides) under uncultured bacterium. RNAcentral describes it as "partial 16S ribosomal RNA". It matches the Rfam family "Bacterial small subunit ribosomal RNA", at positions 338 to 795 of the family's 1533-position model. The record is from RNAcentral.